GUUAAUGUAGCUUAAUUUUAAAGCAAGACACUGAAAAUGUCUAGAUGGGCAGUCACAACCCCAUAAACA
Molecule: transfer RNA, 69 nt
Filed under: Saguinus geoffroyi (Geoffroy's tamarin)
Lineage: Eukaryota; Metazoa; Chordata; Mammalia; Primates; Cebidae
Description: tRNA-Phe
Rfam family: tRNA
About the family: Transfer RNA (tRNA) molecules are approximately 80 nucleotides in length.
Source: RNAcentral